GUUUUGUAAUCCUGCUGUAUUGUUGCUCAAAUAUGUUUCUGCAGAGAUAUUAAUCCUGCUCUCAAUUAAAUUAUUUAAGACUACUUUGAAGGCUACUUUGAAGACUUCUGGAGUUGCUCCUCCUCUUAUACAGCAUGAAAGCAUUGAAGAGUGUUAAAGGUGAUGAUUUAUGGAACAGCUUCCACAUGAUGAAAGAAAUAUGAUCUUCAACCUGCAGAAGAAUCAACUGAAGAAGAGUAUGAUAGAGAUCUACAGGACUGGGAAGGCAAUGAAAAAGUGGAAAAUGACAGUGCACUCCUCACAGAUGAAUAAUGAUCUCCUGCUGACUGUCAUGUCUGUCUGAAGAACAAGAAAUGUGAUGAAGCUGACUGACCCUGUGGCACCUCUUUUCUCUAGAGCACAUAUCAUGGAUAUUCAGGGUAAAUACCUAGAGCAGAAAAAUUAAAAUGGUAUCACAAUUAACCUACUUUUUCCCUGUGUGUAACCCUACCAGUUCUGUCCUAAGACAGGAGUUUGAGAUUUUGGAUAUCUGCCUACUAUGUAAUAAGACCCCUGGCCACCUCUAGCUUCAUGUGCAUGCAUGUACAGCAGCUCUGUGUGUUAGGCUUUUUUUUUUUUUUUGUACAGCCAAAAUUAUGGGCUUGCCAUCACAGUGAAGAUAAUAAGAACUGACUGUCCUAAAUUAGACUUGUAUUCUUACUGCUUUUUUGGGAAUGUCAUUCCCAUCCCUCAGAAACAGCCCACAUUCUGUUCCUGGUUACUCGACAUCAGCAUUGGGGUAGAUGUGUCCCAAGUGCAAUGGCCUCCCAAACAUCUACAGCAAUGCAUUGAUGAAUGCUGUUGUUAAUGUCAGCUGUCUGGAACCUCUCUCUCCCCAAUAGUUCCUGUGCUAUGAUCCCACAGUAGGUGGCUGGAUGCAUCCCUUCUUCUUGUUGCAGAUGGAAGAUCUUGCUCGUAUGCAAACCCUGCUCCCUGUGCAGCUUGGUUGAGGGCAUUCUUUGAAGAUAAAACAAGCCUGUUUUCCUCCAUCAAACUAAAAAAUACCAUUGCAACAUGGCAGCCCUGAGGUUCCUUCAGCACCAUUAUCCAGUAGCUUGUUAGAAGUCCUCAUUUGUAUUACAGUAGCCUUCUGUUGGCCACUGGUGUAUCAGCUGUAGUUAUACUUCUCCAUCUUCUAAAAGCUUUCCAAACUCAGCUUCCUCCCUGCCCCAGGAUGUAGUAGAGUUUUUUGUUGUCUUUAGAUAUAAGCCCAAAAGACUGCUCUCUGAAGCUUUGUUUAGACCAUAAACCAACAUUUCAACUCUGUCUGGUCACUAGAGGACCAGCAGUCAGGAUGCAGCCUGCCUGGUCCAAUCACUCCUCCACAUGAUAUCCAGAGUAGUAGGUUUAUUCUGUUAACUUGUGGUUUGAGCUUUCUUUCUCUUUCUCUCUCUUUUUUUUUUUUUUUUUUUUUCUCUCUCUUUUUUUUUUUUUUUUUCCUCCAUAAAAGUAGAAACAGCUAUUUAAUAAAUAUCCAAGUGAGUUCUAGCUUUAAGGAUGA
Molecule: long non-coding RNA, 1540 nt
Filed under: Anas platyrhynchos platyrhynchos (common mallard)
Lineage: Eukaryota; Metazoa; Chordata; Aves; Anseriformes; Anatidae
Description: lncRNA (ENSAPLG00000027440.1)
Source: RNAcentral